Molecule: ribosomal RNA, 480 nt
Filed under: uncultured Glomeromycotina
Lineage: Eukaryota; Fungi; Glomeromycota
Description: SSU rRNA
Rfam family: Eukaryotic small subunit ribosomal RNA
Source: RNAcentral
AGCGUAUAUUAAAGUUGUUGCAGUUAAAAAGCUCGUAGUUGAAUUUCGGGGUUAGUAGGUUGGUCAUGCCUCUGGUAUGUACUAAUCUCACUGAUUCCUCCCUCUUGACGAACUGUAAUGUCAUUAAUUUGGUGUUGCAGGAAAUCAGGACUGUUACUUUGAAAAAAUUAGAGUGUUUAAAGCAGGCUUAGGCUUGAAUACAUUAGCAUGGAAUAAUGAAAUAGGACGUUUGAACCUAUUUUGUUGGUUUCUAGGAUCGACGUAAUGAUUAAUAGGGAUAGUUGGGGGCAUUAGUAUUCAAUUGUCAGAGGUGAAGUUCUUGGAUUUAUUGAAGACUAACUACUGCGAAAGCAUUUGCCAAGGAUGUUUUCAUUAAUCAAGAACGAAAGUUAGGGGAUCGAAGACGAUCAGAUACCGUCGUAGUCUUAACCAUAAACUAUGCCGACUAGGGAUCGGAUGAUGUUAAUUUUUUAAUGACUC